This 497-nucleotide ribosomal RNA is filed under the name uncultured bacterium. Its description in RNAcentral is "partial 16S ribosomal RNA". It matches the Rfam family "Bacterial small subunit ribosomal RNA", at positions 28 to 507 of the family's 1533-position model. The record is from RNAcentral.
GACGAACGCUGGCGGCGUGCCUAAUACAUGCAAGUUGAGCGCUGAAGGUUGGUACUUGUACCAACUGGAUGAGCAGCGAACGGGUGAGUAACGCGUGGGGAAUCUGCCUUUGAGCGGGGGACAACAAUUGGAAACGAAUGCUAAUACCGCAUAAAAACUUUAAACACAAGUUUUAAGUUUGAAAGAUGCAAUUGCAUCACUCAAAGAUGAUCCCGCGUUGUAUUAGCUAGUUGGUGAGGUAAAGGCUCACCAAGGCGAUGAUACAUAGCCGACCUGAGAGGGUGAUCGGCCACAUUGGGACUGAGACACGGCCCAAACUCCUACGGGAGGCAGCAGUAGGGAAUCUUCGGCAAUGGACGAAAGUCUGACCGAGCAACGCCGCGUGAGUGAAGAAGGUUUUCGGAUCGUAAAACUCUGUUGGUAGAGAAGAACGUUGGUGAGAGUGGAAAGCUCAUCAAGUGACGGUAACUACCCAGAAAGGGACGGCUAACUACGUG